Long non-coding RNA from Paralichthys olivaceus (Japanese flounder), 342 nucleotides. RefSeq lists it as uncharacterized. The record is from RefSeq and is a predicted model, not a curated record. NCBI's taxonomy places the organism in Eukaryota, Metazoa, Chordata, Actinopteri, Pleuronectiformes, Paralichthyidae.
CGUUCAACGACCUGAGUCUCUUCUUCUACGCCGGAAGUAGUGUUCCAGAGGAAAAGCUGGAUGAUACACUGGCGACCUGUCCAUGGUGCACCUGACCACUCCAACAGUGUCAGCGGGGAUUGGUUCCAGCCUCCCUCCCUGGGGCCAUAAAACUAUACAGGGUAUAGAGAAUGGAUGAAUGAAUGAAUGGAUGUAUCCAGUCUGCUUGACACGAGCAGUACACAAUGAAUCAAAAGAAUGACGGCUCGACAGCUUCAAGACACCUCACUGUCCUUCUGGGUCUCAGCACUCCAGCCUUGUUCAUGGAAAUAAAGAGCUGACUCUUCACACCUUUGAUGGCCA